RNAcentral lists this unclassified non-coding RNA (280 nucleotides) under uncultured fungus. Its description in RNAcentral is "partial contains small subunit ribosomal RNA, internal transcribed spacer 1, and 5.8S ribosomal RNA". The stretch from base 1 to 73 matches the Rfam family "Eukaryotic small subunit ribosomal RNA", at positions 1759 to 1831 of the family's 1831-position model. Lineage: Eukaryota; Fungi. The record is from RNAcentral.
CCAAACUUGGUCAUUUAGAGGAAGUAAAAGUCGUAACAAGGUAACCGUAGGUGAACCUGCGGUUGGAUCAUUACUGAUUUCUACCGUAGCCUGUUGAGUCCGCAAGGAUUCCUAGCUACGGUGAUACACCACUUGUGCACUGUAAAUGUCUCUUGGGUUGUUGGGUUAAACCAGCAGCCCAGCGUAACGAACCAAAUUGAAUUUGUCUAAAAUAACGUUUAAAUCAUAAACAACUUUUGACAACGGAUCUCUUGGCUCUCGCAUCGAUGAAGAACGCAGC